ACGGAGGAUGCGAGCGUUAUCCGGAUUUAUUGGGUUUAAAGGGUGCGUAGGCGGCACGCCAAGUCAGCGGUGAAAUUUCCGGGCUCAACCCGGACUGUGCCGUUGAAACUGGCGAGCUAGAGUACACAAGAGGCAGGCGGAAUGCGUGGUGUAGCGGUGAAAUGCAUAGAUAUCACGCAGAACCCCGAUUGCGAAGGCAGCCUGCUAGGGUGAAACAGACGCUGAGGCACGAAAGCGUGGGUAUCGAACAG
This 251-nucleotide ribosomal RNA is filed under the name uncultured bacterium. RNAcentral's name for it is "partial 16S ribosomal RNA". It matches the Rfam family "Bacterial small subunit ribosomal RNA", at positions 525 to 775 of the family's 1533-position model. The record is from RNAcentral.